Onychostruthus taczanowskii (white-rumped snowfinch) is the source of this 706-nucleotide long non-coding RNA. RefSeq lists it as uncharacterized. The record is from RefSeq and is a predicted model, not a curated record. The transcript is spliced from 3 exons. Lineage: Eukaryota; Metazoa; Chordata; Aves; Passeriformes; Passeridae.
CGGCGCGCCUGUGGCUGUGUCACAGCCGAGCCAAGGGCGGGAGAGAGGCCUGGGCCACCGCGGCUGAACGAGGAGCCUGCCCAUCUGGGCAAUGAGGAGAUUGAAGCUGUUCUACUGAUGAAAUAUCCUGUUUUGGUGCAUCCUGGAGCAGUGCUUCGCUGCUCCUCUUCUGGGGCCAUGAGGGCUCCCUCUUGGCUGCUUCUCGCCUUCUUUCCAGCCCAUCCAUAGGACAGGCUGGGAGGCAAGUGAGGAACAGCCUCCCAACCGUGCAUUGCAGCACCUCUCUCCAUCAGAAGUCCACAGGAAACCAGACGGGGCAAAAUAAAAACCAGCCAUUUCAUGCAGUUAGCAAGGAACUGCAGAUUUUAUGGCUGGGCUCCUCAUUUUGCUUCUAGCAUGGCCAGUGAAUACUUGUCAAUGUUUUUCAAAAGUGCUUUGAGAUCCUUCUCUGAAGGUCAGCACAGUGACAGCAAAAAGUCCUCAGGCUCCCGGGACUUCUUCGCCCGUUCUGAGGACAUUUCAGCAAUAAAGCACAUGAGUUUGCAUCAGAAUGAUGCAGAGCUCUUAGUGCUGAGAAAUGAAAGCAAGAAGAACUCCAAAGCAUGUUCUGCACACUGCAGUGUGUCAGCCACAGCUCUCGCCCUCUGGCUGGGGUGAAAGUUUGGGUGAAAUGAGGAGACAGUCAAUACCAUGUGGCUCCUCACCC